GUAACAUAAAGGCUUUUUUUUUGCUUGGAGAAAGAAGAAGAACAAGAAGAAAAGGAAGACGCACACAGCUCACAUCUGCAAAUGAGAUUCAGUUCUUCGGAGCAAAAAAAAAAAAAAAAAAAAUGGAUGCUGGUGAUCCAAGGCAAAGUCGACCUUCUUUCCUGUGAUUGAUCUACCAGAUAUGUCCUCUGCAUUUGCUGUUCUCUUCUGUUGCACUUAUGUGCAUAACAUCAAGUACCAAAUGGAAGCAGCCACUACUUUGGAAUUUAUUCAGAUACGUAUGUUCAUUGCGAGGAUCGAUCCUGUCAACAGCAAGAGCUCUGCAAAAUUCCAGAUCAGCAAAAGAAGUGGGAAGAUGGUGUAAAGGAGAAACUCUGGCCUGAACCCUCAUGUGUCCUCUGUCAUUAAGGAGUUUGUGGAUUUCAGCUGGCAACUUUGAAAAAAAUAAUCCAUGCUUCUUGUGUGUAACAAAAGUUUGAGUUCUUUUUGAAGAUUCAUGCAUGCACUAUCGUCACUAUUCACUAUUAUCAUAGUAUGUUGUGCUUAGCAUAAAUUUGAAGAAUUUUUUCUUACUAUAAUAGUUAGA
Cyprinus carpio (common carp) is the source of this 586-nucleotide RNA transcript. It is a transcript of the gene named P2Y purinoceptor 4-like, with no coding region annotated. NCBI's taxonomy places the organism in Eukaryota, Metazoa, Chordata, Actinopteri, Cypriniformes, Cyprinidae. The record is from RefSeq and is a predicted model, not a curated record.